GCUGACACUCAAUCAUAUAUAAAACAGUUAAAAAAACUACUUACACAUCAAUUUACUACUAACUACAAAAUUACAAGUACUAAAAAGGAAAUAAUAUUAAUUUUAAGUAGUGAUAACCCACGUACCUUGUGCAUUAUGGUUUUACAAGAUAAAAAUUAAAAACAUUAUUCCCGAAUCCUACGCGAGCUGCUUCUAUAUAGCUAAGAGCCCACUACUAGUUGUAGCAACAACUCUAGAAAAUAUAUUAGCAGAGGCUACAUACCACACGCGCUAGAAAAUCGCUGGUUUUCAGUAAAACUUAUUAAUUAAAACAUGCAGUACCCCUGCAGUGUAAGAUUUCAGAGGAUAAGCCCUGUAAUCUCAAGCUAUGCUCUAAGCACACAAUAACAUUAGGCCUAAAAACAGCCAUCACAAAUACUUCACCGUAUAAAAUAAUUCACAAUCACUAAUUCUGCAUGCCCAAACUAACUGAAAUUUAGGAAAAACCUUAAUCCCUAAAAUAUUCUGUAAAAAUAAGUAUUAGAAAAAUAAAAAUAACACACUUAAAACAUAUUCCAUAAUUAACGACCAAACACUUAUAAAGGAACUCGGCAAAUUCUUAUUUCGACUGUUA
Molecule: ribosomal RNA, 613 nt
Filed under: Scherotheca savignyi
Lineage: Eukaryota; Metazoa; Annelida; Clitellata; Crassiclitellata; Lumbricidae
Description: partial 16S ribosomal RNA
Source: RNAcentral